UUAUACACAGACCUGUGCAAAACAUCAGGCCAUGCCAUUAAUUCUUCAGGCGCUGCAGAAUUAGAAAAGUUGUUCUGCCUGUAGAGCAUGUUUUACAGAGAGGGAGGUAGUAAGGUAACUACAGCCAUGAGGUGUGCUAAGCAAAAUUAGGGUUUCAGCACUGUGAAUUUGUUUUAAGUCAAAAGCUGGCUUCAAGGGUGAAAAUAAAGGCAGGAAGAAACUAACCCCCCCCCAACACCUGAUUUCCUCAGCUCGUUCUUUACAGAUCUGUAAGGAAAUCACGGCCUUUAACAGGUGUGAGAGCUGUUGCCCCGCUACCAUUGAAGAAACUGGGUGAAAGCUAGAAGUUACUAAGCUCAGGACUGGCCACAGAACAGCCUCUUAAGUAGAUGGACAGGCUACUCAGCAACUAAGAGAAGAAAGCAACAACUCACCCUACCCCCCCAGCCUUGCGGGUGUGGAUUGACUUGCCCUCCAGUGAGACUCCCUGGUUUCUGCUUCUCAACACAUCGUCUUCCAGAGGAGAGUUGACACAGUUGACUCUGGUUUGCCAUUCAUCCACUGCAGAUUCCAACAUUAUUCUAUAGACUUAUGAUUUGAGUUCAACGUACAUACUAAGUUAGCUAAAGCUAUUGG
This 636-nucleotide long non-coding RNA is filed under the name Meleagris gallopavo (turkey). Its description in RNAcentral is "lncRNA (ENSMGAG00000019465.1)". The record is from RNAcentral. Lineage: Eukaryota; Metazoa; Chordata; Aves; Galliformes; Phasianidae.